UACGAAGGGGGCUAGCGUUGUUCGGAAUUACUGGGCGUAAAGGGCGCGCAGGCGGCCCUCCAAGUCAGGCGUGAAAGCCCCGGGCUCAACCCGGGAACAGCGCUUGAGACUGGGGGGCUUGAGUUCGGGAGAGGAGAGUGGAAUUCCCAGUGUAGAGGUGAAAUUCGUAGAUAUUGGGAAGAACACCGGUGGCGAAGGCGGCGACCUGGUCCGACACUGACGCUGAGGCGCGAAAGCGUGGGGAGCAAACAGG
RNAcentral lists this ribosomal RNA (253 nucleotides) under uncultured bacterium. RNAcentral's name for it is "partial 16S ribosomal RNA". It matches the Rfam family "Bacterial small subunit ribosomal RNA", at positions 524 to 776 of the family's 1533-position model. The record is from RNAcentral.